This 438-nucleotide unclassified non-coding RNA is filed under the name soil metagenome. RNAcentral's name for it is "partial contains 5.8S ribosomal RNA, internal transcribed spacer 2, and large subunit ribosomal RNA". The stretch from base 1 to 120 matches the Rfam family "5.8S ribosomal RNA", at positions 35 to 154 of the family's 154-position model. The record is from RNAcentral.
GAUGAAGAACGUAGUGAAAUGCGAUAAGUAGUGUGAAUUGCAGAAUUCAGUGAAUCAUCGAAUCUUUGAACGCACAUUGCGCUCCCUGGUAUUCCGGAGAGCAUGCCCGUUUCAGAAUCACGUUUUCAAACUCUCACCAAAUUCCCGUGUCUCGCACAUGGGAGGACGGUUAGGAUGCUGGACAGAUUGAGUGGUGGUAUCCGCCCAAUUGUCUGAAAGUCAUUGUCCAAAUGGUCGCAGUGGUUUGUGAGGCCCACGGUCACAAGGUGCAACAGAUGCUUGUAGUCUUUUUUCACUUUGCUGUCGGAUCACGCCACGGGUUGUUAGGACCAGGCCCCUGCACGGUGGGACGUCCAGCCGAAGCUGCUUCCACCGAUCAUAUGGUCUGAAAUCGGGCAAGAAAACCCGCUGAACUUAAGCAUAUCAAUAAGCGGAGGA